CAGCAAAAUACCCAUUAACAUACAUGACAAUUAAACUGCGCACUUCAAAAUGAGUAACCAAAACAAACAUUUAUGACAAUCAUCAUUCACACAGAAUAAACUUCUAACAGCUGUAUUCAGAACAUAUUAUUGUAAGGUAUACCAAUUUUAGUUUGUAUUGGAUUUAUUUAAGAUUUCUGGUACCAAAGGGUUUAUUUUUUCUUUUUUUUAAAGAAGGGAUCCCGUACGGCCAUAUAACACGUUUGACUU
Non-coding RNA from Pelobates cultripes (western spadefoot toad), 249 nucleotides. The record is from the annotation of a GenBank genome assembly. NCBI's taxonomy places the organism in Eukaryota, Metazoa, Chordata, Amphibia, Anura, Pelobatidae.